GAUGAAGAACGUAGCAAAAUGCGAUAAGUAAUGUGAAUUGCAGAAUUCAGUGAAUCAUCGAAUCUUUGAACGCACAUUGCGCCCGCUGGUAUUCCGGCGGGCAUGCUUGUUCGAGCGUCAUUUCAACCCUCAAGCCCCCGGGUUUGGUGUUGGGGAUCGGCUCUGCCCUUCUGGGCGGUGCCGCCCCCGAAAUACAUUGGCGGUCUCGCUGCAGCCUCCAUUGCGUAGUAGCUAACACCUCGCAACUGGAACGCGGCGCGGCCAUGCCGUAAAACCCCAACUUCUGAAUGUUGACCUCGGAUCAGGUAGGAAUACCCGCUGAACUUAAGCAUAUCAAUAAGCGGAGGA
RNAcentral lists this unclassified non-coding RNA (348 nucleotides) under soil metagenome. RNAcentral describes it as "partial contains 5.8S ribosomal RNA, internal transcribed spacer 2, and large subunit ribosomal RNA". The stretch from base 1 to 120 matches the Rfam family "5.8S ribosomal RNA", at positions 35 to 154 of the family's 154-position model. The record is from RNAcentral.